Molecule: ribosomal RNA, 292 nt
Filed under: uncultured bacterium
Lineage: Bacteria
Description: partial 16S ribosomal RNA
Rfam family: Bacterial small subunit ribosomal RNA
Source: RNAcentral
GUGACAGCCGCCGCGGUAAUACGGGGGGGGCUAUCGUUGUUCGGAAUUACUGGGCGUAAAGGGCUCGUAGGUGGCCAACUAAGUCAGACGUGAAAUCCCUCGGCUUAACCGGGGAACUGCGUCUGAUACUGAUUGGCUUGAAUCCGGGAGAGGGAUGCGGAAUUCCAGGUGUAGCGGUGAAAUGCGUAGAUAUCUGGAGGAACACCGGUGGCGAAGGCGGCAUCCUGGACCGGUAUUGACACUGAGGAGCGAAAGCCAGGGGAGCAAACGGGAUUAGAUACCCUUGUAGUCC